RNAcentral lists this ribosomal RNA (251 nucleotides) under uncultured microorganism. RNAcentral describes it as "partial 16S ribosomal RNA". It matches the Rfam family "Archaeal small subunit ribosomal RNA", at positions 330 to 583 of the family's 1478-position model. The record is from RNAcentral.
GCGCAGCAGUCGAGAAACUUUACAAUGCGGGAAACCGUGAUAAGGGAACCUCGAGUGCUGAUGCCCAGCAUUGGCUGUCCACAUGCCUAAAAGCAUGUGUUAGCAAGGGCCGGGCAAGACCGGUGCCAGCCGCCGCGGUAACACCGGCGGCUCGAGUGGUAGCCACUUUUAUUGGGUCUAAAGCGUCCGUAGCCGGCUUGGUAAGUCUUCUGGGAAAUCUGGCGGCUCAACCGUCAGGCGUCCAGGAGAUA